RNAcentral lists this ribosomal RNA (452 nucleotides) under uncultured bacterium. Its description in RNAcentral is "bacterial SSU rRNA". It matches the Rfam family "Bacterial small subunit ribosomal RNA", at positions 340 to 784 of the family's 1533-position model. The record is from RNAcentral.
UACGGGAGGCAGCAGUGGGGAAUAUUGCACAAUGGGCGCAAGCCUGAUGCAGCCAUGCCGCGUGUAUGAAGAAGGCCUUCGGGUUGUAAAGUACUUUCAGUCGUGAGGAAGGUGUUAAGGUUAAUAACCUUAGCAAUUGACGUUAGCGACAGAAGAAGCACCGGCUAACUCCGUGCCAGCAGCCGCGGUAAUACGGAGGGUGCGAGCGUUAAUCGGAAUUACUGGGCGUAAAGGGCACGCAGGCGGUUAAUUAAGUUGGAUGUGAAAUCCCCGGGCUUAACCUGGGAAUGGCAUUCAAGACUGGUUAGCUAGAGUCUUGUAGAGGGGGUAGAAUUCCAUGUGUAGCGGUGAAAUGCGUAGAGAUGUGGAGGAAUACCGGUGGCGAAGGCGGCCCCUGGCAAAGGACUGACGCUCAUGUGCGAAAGCGUGGGGAGGCAAACAGGGAUUAGAUA